This 1189-nucleotide long non-coding RNA is filed under the name Malus domestica (apple). RNAcentral's name for it is "long non-coding RNA (MDOM_LNC008335)". The record is from RNAcentral. Lineage: Eukaryota; Viridiplantae; Streptophyta; Magnoliopsida; Rosales; Rosaceae.
AGAGAGAAAAGGGAAAAGCUUUCAUUUUCAAAAUGCUCCCAUCAACAUUCACAGGGGUCAUGCUCGAACAAACAACCUUGAACUCCUUCAAAUGUUUAUUAGGAUCUUCCAUAGACAACCCAUGGAAAUUAGGAAUAUGAUGCAAUAAACUGGACUUUAAUUCGAACUCGUUGGUCAUAUUUUGGGCCGCCCUUAGAUAUUGAAUGCAUAAAGGCAGAGCAUUGUCCAAUCCCGAAGUGGAAAGCUCCUUGAUUGUUCAAUUGUCUACUGCCAUAUCUUGGACUUCUUCAAAAGUCCUUGUCGUGGCCUCCUCUUGCUCUUCUACUUUGUCUUCUUCAAGAUCUGGUGUAGGUUGAGAUGGUUGGGGAUCUUGUUGAUUUCUUGCUCGUCUCAAUGUUCGUUCAAAAUCGUCGUUAAAGUUAAAGAUGUGCUUAUGAACAAGUUGAGAACUUCGAGUCAUAAACCACCUAAAAUAAGAAAACAAGUAAAAUCAGCAACUAGGAACAAAAACACAUGAAAAUACACAAAAAGAAAUAACAGGGGAUUAGCAAAGUUGCUAAUCCCCGGCAAGCGCCAAAAACUUGAUGCGAAAAUUAACUUAACACACAAAUUUAACCCUCUUUUGACAACUGUAGUAUAAGUAUAAGUAGGGAUCGUUCUGGACUGGGGAUUAGGAGGGCUUGCUAAUAACCUUAAACUGACUCAAAAACAUAAAACUAAACUUAACAAUACUUAACAAGACUCACAAGACUCAAAGCAAACUUAAAAUACUCAAAACAGCUUAAAACGACUAAAUAAACUUAAACUAGACACUAGGAAUGACUUUGGAUGAAAAUUGAAUUUUACUUGAAUCAAAACAUUUAAAAACACAAAUUAAAAUAGAUUCUAACUAAUUAGACACACUAAAGUAAAGGGGGAUUGAGUUUUGGACAAAGUUGAAACAAACAAACAAGUAUGAAAAACUAGACAGAUUGUAAAACGAAUGUGAGAAAUAAGAUGAUGGAUGGGAUAGCUAGAGGCUAUUUCUCCACACAUGACAUGUAUGCAAAUAGCUCGAUUUCCAGUUACUACUUCAUUGAAUUAUGAACGACAAUGCUCCAAAUUAACCGUGACAUCACCAGUUAACUCUCAGAUUUUCCUUGUUUUAUUGGAUUGGAUGACAUCAUUCGACAACCCAAAACAUUCUUCU